UCUCCGUGGGUGAACCAGCGGAGGGAUCAUUACCGAGUUUACAACUCCCAAACCCCUAUGUGAACGUUACCAAACUGUUGCCUCGGCGGGAAAUUCAUGCCCCGGGCGCGUCGCAGCCCCGGACCAAGGCGCCCGCCGGAGGACCAACCAAAACUCUUUUGUAUGUCCCUCGCGGACUUUUAUAAUUCUGAACCAUCUCGGCGCCCCUAGCGGGCGUUUCGAAAAUGAAUCAAAACUUUCAACAACGGAUCUCUUGGUUCUG
This 262-nucleotide unclassified non-coding RNA is filed under the name plant metagenome. RNAcentral describes it as "partial contains small subunit ribosomal RNA, internal transcribed spacer 1, and 5.8S ribosomal RNA". The record is from RNAcentral.